UUGACAUUAUUCUUGAUGUGGCUUAACGUCAGGAGUGAGGGUUAGGGAGGAUUCCUCCUCCCCCUGGUGUCUUAGUAAGCCUGGAAGCUAAUCACUAAGAGUAUCACCAGUAUGAUGACUACCUUCAUCAUAACCCUUUCCUUAUU
Salmonella enterica subsp. enterica serovar Enteritidis is the source of this 146-nucleotide non-coding RNA. NCBI's taxonomy places the organism in Bacteria, Pseudomonadati, Pseudomonadota, Gammaproteobacteria, Enterobacterales, Enterobacteriaceae. The record is from Rfam.